ACGCUCGACACCUACUGGAGGCAGCAGUGGGGAAUAUUGCACAAUGGGGGAAACCCUGAUGCAGCGACGCCGCGUGAGCGAAGAAGUAUUUCGGUAUGUAAAGCUCUAUCAGCAGGGAAGAAACUGACGGUACCUGACUAAGAAGCACCGGCUAAAUACGUGCCAGCAGCCGCGGUAAUCUGAGCGGGCUGGCAAGGC
Molecule: ribosomal RNA, 198 nt
Filed under: uncultured bacterium
Lineage: Bacteria
Description: partial 16S ribosomal RNA
Rfam family: Bacterial small subunit ribosomal RNA
Source: RNAcentral